Molecule: ribosomal RNA, 253 nt
Filed under: uncultured bacterium
Lineage: Bacteria
Description: partial 16S ribosomal RNA
Rfam family: Bacterial small subunit ribosomal RNA
Source: RNAcentral
UACGUAGGGGGCAAGCGUUGUUCGGAAUUACUGGGCGUAAAGGGCGCGUAGGCGGCACGGCAAGUCGGGAGUGAAAGCCCGGGGCUCAACCCCGGAGGGUCUCUCGAAACUGCCGAGCUAGAGUGCGGAAGAGGCAAUCGGAAUUCCCAGUGUAGCGGUGAAAUGCGUAGAUAUUGGGAAGAACACCGGAGGCGAAGGCGGAUUGCUGGGCCGACACUGACGCUGAGGCGCGAAAGCCAGGGGAGCAACCGGG